AGGACGAACGCUGGCGGCGUGCUUAACACAUGCAAGUCGAGCGGAAAGGCCCUUCGGGUACUCGAGCGGCGAACGGGUGAGUAACACGUGAGUAACCUGCCCUUGGCUCUGGGAUAGCUCCGGGAAACCGGAAUUAAUACCGGAUAUGACCUCGGCCGACAUCGGCUGCGGUGGAAAGAUUUAUCGGCCAGGGAUGGGCUCGCGGCCUAUCAGCUUGUUGGUGGGGUAACGGCCUACCAAGGCGACGACGGGUAG
RNAcentral lists this ribosomal RNA (255 nucleotides) under uncultured bacterium. RNAcentral describes it as "partial small subunit ribosomal RNA". It matches the Rfam family "Bacterial small subunit ribosomal RNA", at positions 26 to 286 of the family's 1533-position model. The record is from RNAcentral.